UACGUAGGGUGCGAGCGUUAAUCGGAAUUACUGGGCGUAAAGCGUGCGCAGGCUGUUUUGUAAGUCAGAUGUGAAAUCCCUGGGCUCAACCUAGGAACUGCGUUUGAAACUACAAGGCUAGAGUGUAGCAGAGGGGGGGUAGAAUUCCACGUGUAGCAGUGAAAUGCGUAGAGAUGUGGAGGAAUACCAAUGGCGAAGGCAGCCCCCCUGGGUUAACACUGACGCUCAUGCACGAAAGCGUGGGGAGCAAACAGG
Molecule: ribosomal RNA, 255 nt
Filed under: uncultured bacterium
Lineage: Bacteria
Description: partial 16S ribosomal RNA
Rfam family: Bacterial small subunit ribosomal RNA
Source: RNAcentral